RNAcentral lists this ribosomal RNA (839 nucleotides) under uncultured eukaryote. Its description in RNAcentral is "SSU rRNA". It matches the Rfam family "Eukaryotic small subunit ribosomal RNA", at positions 635 to 1426 of the family's 1831-position model. The record is from RNAcentral.
CGGUGUUCAACUGGCGUGCCCGCGGGACGUCCUGCCGGUGAGCUCAGCCCGCGAGGGCGGCUCAACUUGAAAUCCCAUCGCGGUGCUCUUCAUUGAGUGUCGAGGUGGGCCGGCACGAUUACUUUUGAACAAAUUAGAGUGCUUAAAGCAGGCUAAAAUUUUGCCCGAAUACUGUGUAUAUGGAAUAAUGGAAUAGGACCUCGGUUCUAUUUUGUUGGUUUUCGGAACCCCGAGGUAAUGAUUAAUAGGAACGGAUGGGGGCAUUCGUAUUGCGACGUUAGAGGUGAAAUUCUUGGAUCGUCGCAAGACGGACUAAAGCGAAAGCAUUUGCCAAAAACGCUUUCAUUGAUCAAGAACGAAAGUUAGAGGUUCGAAGGCGAUCAGAUACCGCCCUAGUUCUAACCAUAAACUAUGCCAGCUAGCGAUCCGCCGACGUCCCUCUGAUGACUCGGCGGGCAGCUUCCGGGAAACCAAAGCUUUUGGGUUCCGGGGGAAGUAUGGUUGCAAAGCUGAAACUUAAAGGAAUUGACGGAAGGGCACCACCAGGAGUGGAGCCUGCGGCUUAAUUUGACUCAACACGGGAAACCUCACCAGGCCCAGACACUGGAAGGAUUGACAGAUUGAGAGCUCUUUCUUGAUUCAGUGGGUGGUGGUGCAUGGCCGUUCUUAGUCGGUGGAGCGAUUUGUCAGGUUAAUUCCGAUAACGGACGAGACUCUGACCUGAUAACUAGACGCACUUGCGGCAUCUCAAAGGUCCGCCGGCGGCUGGCUUUGCGCCCGUCGUCGCGCGCGAUUUUUACUGCCGGCGUACAAUAAAUUCUUCUUAGAGGGACAAGUGG